CACAAUUGUAAAAGUAUCACAACUUCUAACAGUUUCUACAGAAGACUUGUGAGGACAUGGCCAGUCGUUUAAACGACUUUCUGAUAACUGUUUGAGAAGUACACAUAUAGUCAUUCAUAAUGGAAGAUUUGGUCUAACAAAUUCUACAUUAAACAAAAUAAUAUCAUUAAUGUUUUGUAUAUAUUCUGAGAUUGGUGACUGAUGAGGAGCUGUAUAGUAAACUGAUGUUAAGACAGUGUGAUGACUGAUGUUAAGACAGUGUGGUGACUGAUGUUAAGACGGUGUGGUAACUGAUGUUAAGACGGUGUGGUGACUGAUGUUAAGACGGUGUGGUGACUGAUGUUAAGACGGUGUGGUGACUGAUGUUAAGACAGUGUGGUGACUGAUGUUAAGACAGUGUGGUGACUGAUGUUAAGACGGUGUGGUGACUGUGUGGUGACUGAUGUUAAGACGGUGUGGUGACUGAUGUUAAGACGGUGUGGUGACUGAUGUUAAGACAGUGUGGUGACUGAUGUUAAGACGGUGUGGUGACUGAUGUUAAGACUGUGUGGUGACUGAUGUUAAGACGGUGUGGUGACUGUGUGGUGACUGAUGUUAAGACGGUGUGGUGACUGUGUGGUGACUGAUGUUAAGACAGUGUGGUGACUGAUGUUAAGACGGUGUGGUGACUGAUGUUAAGACGGUGUGGUGACUGAUGUUAAGACGGUGUGGUGACUGUGUGGUGACUGAUGUUAAGACGGUGUGGUGACUGAUGUUAAGACGGUGUGGUGACUGUGUGGUGACUGAUGUUAAGACAGUGUGGUGACUGAUGUUAAGACGGUGUGGUGACUGAUGUUAAGACGGUGUGGUGACUGUGUGGUGACUGAUGUUAAGACAGUGUGGUGACUGAUGUUAAGACGGUGUGGUGACUGAUGUUAAGACUGUGUGGUGACUGAUGUUAAGACGGUGUGGUGACUGAUGUUAAGACGGUGUGGUGACUGAUGUUAAGACGGUGUGGUGACUGAUGUUAAGACGGUGUGGUGACUGAUGUUAAGGACA
Long non-coding RNA from Pecten maximus, 1038 nucleotides. RefSeq lists it as uncharacterized. The record is from RefSeq and is a predicted model, not a curated record. Lineage: Eukaryota; Metazoa; Mollusca; Bivalvia; Pectinida; Pectinidae. The transcript has 3 exons.